UUACGGGAGGCAGCAGUGGGGAAUCUUGCGCAAUGGGCGAAAGCCUGACGCAGCCAUGCCGCGUGAAUGAUGAAGGUCUUAGGAUUGUAAAAUUCUUUCACCGGGGAAGAUAAUGACGGUACCCGGAGAAGAAGCCCCGGCUAACUUCGUGCCAGCAGCCGCGGUAAUACGAAGGGGGCUAGCGUUGCUCGGAAUUACUGGGCGUAAAGGGCGCGUAGGCGGACAGUUUAGUCAGAGGUGAAAGCCCAGGGCUCAACCUUGGAAUUGCCUUUGAUACUGGCUGUCUUGAGUUCGGGAGAGGUGAGUGGAAUGCCGAGUGUAGAGGUGAAAUUCGUAGAUAUUCGGCGGAACACCAGUGGCGAAGGCGACUCACUGGCCCGAUACUGACGCUGAGGCGCGAAAGCGUGGGGAGCAAACAGGAUUAGAAACCCCGGUAGUCCU
This 441-nucleotide ribosomal RNA is filed under the name uncultured bacterium. Its description in RNAcentral is "bacterial SSU rRNA". It matches the Rfam family "Bacterial small subunit ribosomal RNA", at positions 339 to 797 of the family's 1533-position model. The record is from RNAcentral.